ACGAACGCUGGCGGCGUGCUUAACACAUGCAAGUCGCACGGAAAGGCCCUGCUUGCAGGGUCCUCGAGUGGCGAACGGGUGAGUAACACGUGGGUGAUCUGCCCUGCACUUCGGGAUAAGCCUGGGAAACUGGGUCUAAUACCGGAUAUGAGCCAUUUUUAGUGUGAUGGUUGGAAAGUUUUUUCGGUGUAGGAUGAGCUCGCGGCCUAUCAGCUUGUUUGUUGGGUAAUGGCCUACCAAGGCGGCGACGGGUAGCCGGCCUGAGAGGGUGGACGGCCACAUUGGGACUGAGAUACGGCCCAGACUCCUACGGGAGGCAGCAGUGGGGAAUAUUGCACAAUGGGCGCAAGCCUGAUGCAGCGACGCCGCGUGGGGGAGGACGGCCUUCGGGUUGUAAACUCCUUUCGCUAGGGACGAAGCUUUUUGUGACGGUACCUAGAUAAGAAGCACCGGCUAACUAAGUG
This 464-nucleotide ribosomal RNA is filed under the name uncultured bacterium. Its description in RNAcentral is "partial 16S ribosomal RNA". It matches the Rfam family "Bacterial small subunit ribosomal RNA", at positions 29 to 507 of the family's 1533-position model. The record is from RNAcentral.